GGUUCAGUGGUGUAGUGGUGUAGCAUACAGUGCCCCGUAUAAGCCCGAGACGCUGGUUUGAAUCCCGCCUGAGCCG
Molecule: transfer RNA, 76 nt
Filed under: Nippostrongylus brasiliensis
Lineage: Eukaryota; Metazoa; Nematoda; Chromadorea; Rhabditida; Heligmosomidae
Rfam family: tRNA
About the family: Transfer RNA (tRNA) molecules are approximately 80 nucleotides in length.
Source: Rfam by way of RNAcentral